Molecule: ribosomal RNA, 356 nt
Filed under: uncultured bacterium
Lineage: Bacteria
Description: bacterial SSU rRNA
Rfam family: Bacterial small subunit ribosomal RNA
Source: RNAcentral
AGAGUUUGAUCAUGGCUCAGGAUGAACGCUAGCUACAGGCUUAACACAUGCAAGUCGAGGGGAAACGAUAUCGGAAGCUUUGCUUCCGAUAGGCGUCGACCGGCGUACGGGUGAGUAACGCGUAUCCAACCUGCCCACCACUUGGGGAUAACCUUGCGAAAGUAAGACUAAUACCCAAUGACGUCUCUAGAAGACAUCUGAAAGAGAUUAAGAUUUAUCGGUGAUGGAUGGGGAUGCGUCUGAUUAGCUUGUUGGCAGGGUAACGGCCCACCAAGGCGACGAUCAGUAGGGGUUCUGAGAGGAAGGCCCCCCACAUUGGAACUGAGACACGGUCCAAACUCCUACGGGAGGCAGCA